Molecule: long non-coding RNA, 1500 nt
Filed under: Homo sapiens (human)
Lineage: Eukaryota; Metazoa; Chordata; Mammalia; Primates; Hominidae
Description: novel transcript
Source: RNAcentral
GGAUGGAACCUGCUUUUGUGAUAUGUGAGAUGUUCUCGAUGUGAAAUCGCUUGAUGAUUUUGUGAUUAAACCCCACGACUGCCUGUUUCUGAUUUUGCUCUGGAGCUCACUGAUAGCUCUGGAACUUGGGAUUUCUGAACACAUGGCCUUCAUCAUUGGGAAAGACUCAGUCUUACUAUGGAAUAUCUUGUGCUGCUUUACAGGACUCCUUACCAACCAGGUACUUCUGAUAAUUGACUGGCAAACCUGGUUUAUUCCAAAUAUUAGCUCAAUGUUCUCUCUCCCAGCUGCUUGGUGGCUGGCCCUUGACUAUGCACUGUUGAUUAUGGCAUUUGAAUGGACUGUCUUUACCCAAUCAUCUCCUUAGUAAAACCGAAAAGGGUUUCCAAUGGGGCAAGAAUAUAAUGUUGCAUUGCCCAAAAAUUCAGGGAAGGUGUGGUGGUGUGUGGGGCACUUUGACACCUGAAGAACUGCAACAAGAUUCUAGUCAUCUGGAAGAAAUGGAGCUUCCCAUUUGGAAGUGGUGAAAUGAAGACCUGAGGUCAAGGGCACUUAGGCAUGUUUUGGUCACUUCACAAUCUUCUGCUAUUUAUUUUGUUAAUUGACCCAAAGUUUGAUCCAAUGAUAUUUUUAGGAGCCAUAUGCUGGAUCAAAUCAAAUCUGUCAUCUUGUUCUAUCAGUUUCUAAUGAGUCACUAUUUCUGGUGCAGGGCUGGCAAAAAGCUGUCGUCUUGCCAUUCUUCUUUCCAGGUGUCAGGGCAGGCAUUGCCAAUUUGUUACAGUUCCUAGCUUUCCAAGGCCAGACUCAAUACCAGAGUCUAAACUUUGUGCUUCAGUAGUUAUUACCAAUUCAUCAGAGUUGGCAUACAAUUUGGGACCUAUUUGUCAAGCCUGGGUUAAUGGGAGAACAGUGACUCUUCUUUGUUGUAGCUGUCUAUGUGAACUUAGGCAGGCAUUAGUCUCUCUGAGCCUCGACCAUCAUCUACUAAGAGGUAUUACCUAACCCACAAGCUAGACCAAAUUCAUAUGCAUAUAAAAUGAGAUUUAUAUAAUAAAAAUAAGCCUCCUUUUCAAUCUAAGGAGAUAUUAUUUUUACUGAAAUGGACUAAUGUUUAGUAAAACCAUAGUUCAUUAAUCCAGCCACCCACAGUAGAUUCAUUGUUGCUUUCGUUCUUUGUUUCACUCCCCUGUGUCAAACCAGUUUUCGAGUCUUGUUGAUUUUGCCUUUAAGUAGCUCUUGAAUCUGCCUUUCUCGUCAGGCACACUGGGGUGGAGUCCAUGCCCUCCAUAUGAGCCUUUUAGAUAAUGAUCUCUCUGCCAUGCAUGCCCCCAGUUUCUGGUCUGUUCUCUACUACUCUAUGGCCAGGGUGGCCUCUUUAGAUGGACCACAUGCCUCCGCUGUUUACACCCCCGUGGGUCUCCCACACUCUCCGUGAUAAAGACUAGAAGUUCCCUGGCUGACACCUGUGGCCCUUCAUUUUCCACCUCCACCUUCUCUGCA